Macaca fascicularis (crab-eating macaque) is the source of this 1602-nucleotide long non-coding RNA. Lineage: Eukaryota; Metazoa; Chordata; Mammalia; Primates; Cercopithecidae. The record is from Ensembl.
UGAGAGGUAGUAGAAGUUGCACUUUUAGCUUUAGCCUGAGCAGGAUGAGGGUGAUGCUGGUGGAGCUUGCUGCAGGGCCUCGGGCUGAACCUCCUCUGUGCAUGAGAGAUAAUUUAGAACUUUAAAUAUUUCAAAUAUAAAUAUAUGAAUCUCUUUGCACUCACAAACAUUCAAUGGGCCUACUAAGGCAAUUGGAAAAAAUGAUCUUAAUAAAAUAUAAUCAGAUGAAACUGCAUUCAAAAACUGCACAGGGUGCAAAAUAUGUCAAAAGUGAUGGUGAAUCAUAGCUGCCCCUCUUAAAAUAGCUUUUAACUUUUAGAAUGCACAUUACCUUUCUGGGUGUCCAUUUCUUUCACUGUAUGGUGGUAGAAACAAUAUCUGCUUCACACAGUGUGGGCCUGAGGAUUAAUGCUAUCACAAGGCUGAUACCGUGUAUUAGUCUGUUUUCAUGCUGCUGAUAAAGACAUACCCGAGACUGGGCAAUUUACAAAAGAAAGAGGUUUAUUGGACUUACUGUUCCACAUGGCUGGGGAGGCCUCACAAUCACGGCAGAAGGCAAAGAGGAGAAAUUCACAUCUUACGUGGAUGGCAGCAGGCAAAGAGAGGGCUUGUGCAGGGAAAUUCCCGUUUUUAAAACCAUCAGAUCUCAGGAGACCCCUUCACUGUCACAAGAACACAGGGGAAAGAUCCGCCCCCAUGAUUCGGUCAUGUCCCACUGAGUCCCUCCUACAACAUGUGGGAAUUAUGGGAGCUACAAGAUGAGAUUUGGGUGGGGACACAGAACCGUAUGGUACCACUAGCCCAGAUACUGUGCUUGGUGCAUAUAAUAUGGCUAUGGCCACUAGUGCCACCUUCCCUAAUGUUGGUGCUAUGGGAAACUAUGGGGGAAGAGAUUCAUUUUUCCCUGGGGUCUGAAGUCAUGGAAGUCUUCAAAGAAAAGAGGUCACUUAAUGUUAUCUUAAAAAGCUUUAGAGGAGAAAUAAAAUGAGCAAAACUGUGGAGCAUGCAAAACUCAUGUGAUUAAACUUAGGGUUGAUUGCGGGGCUAGUGGUGAAAGUUAAAAGAAUCAUUGGUGUGUGAAAUGACAUGUUUAUAACACGUAACAUAUUAAGAUAAUACCCCAUGAGCAACUAGAUAUUAAAACUUGUAAAAUAAUAGUAAUAAUUUGAGAAAUUAUUUCAGAAAGAUAAUUUCCAACGCAGGUGGACUUCUCCAAAAAUAAUUGUCUAGAAUCAAUCAUUUCCCGAAUGGUAAAACCAUCAGUGCACCUACAUCAGAGUCCCUAAAAGGAGCCUUCCAGGCUGGGCACAGUGGCUCACACCUGUAAUCCCAGCACUCUGGGAGGCCGAGAUGGGCGGAUCACGAGGUCAGGAGAUCAAGACCAUCCUGGCUAACACAGUGAAACCCCGUCUCUACUAAAAAUACAAAAAAUUAGCCGGGCAUGGUGGCAGGCGCCUGUAGUCCCAGAUACUUGGGAGACUGAGGCAGGAGUAUGGUGUGAACCCGGGAGGCGGAGCUUGCAGUGAGCCAAGAUCCGGCCACUGCACUCCAGCCUGGGCGACAUAGUGAGACUCCAUCUCAAAAAAAAAAAAAAAAAAAAAA